Molecule: ribosomal RNA, 497 nt
Filed under: uncultured bacterium
Lineage: Bacteria
Description: partial 16S ribosomal RNA
Rfam family: Bacterial small subunit ribosomal RNA
Source: RNAcentral
GAUGAACGCUGGCGGCGUGCCUAACACAUGCAAGUCGAGCGAAAAGACAAGGAGAGCGUGCUCUUAAGGUUAGCGGCGGACGGAUGAGUAACAAGUGGAUAAGCAACUAAUAAGACUGGGAGAACUACGGGGAACAGGUGAUGAUACUGGCGAACAUGACGUACGGCAGGGAGCAAGAGAGAAAGAGGGUCUUCGCGUCAGUAUUAGACGAUGCCGGGCCGCAUUAGCUAGUUGGUAAGGGAACGGCAUACCAAGGCAACGAUGCGUAGCCGACCUGAGAGGAUGAUCAGCCACACUGGAACUGAGCCACGGUCCAGACUCCUACGGGAGGCAGCAGUGGGGAAUCUUCGGCAAUGGGCGCAAGCCUGACCCAGCCACGCCGCGUGAGUGAUGAAGGUCUUCGGGUCGUAAAGCCCUUUUGUUAGGGAAGAACAAAUGUAUGUUUAACUCUGCCCGUUCUGACGGUACCCAAUCAGAAAGCCCCGGCUAACUUCGUG